RNAcentral lists this ribosomal RNA (557 nucleotides) under Debaryomyces aff. castellii EXF-6421. RNAcentral describes it as "eukaryotic LSU rRNA". It matches the Rfam family "Eukaryotic large subunit ribosomal RNA", at positions 96 to 669 of the family's 3401-position model. Lineage: Eukaryota; Fungi; Ascomycota; Pichiomycetes; Serinales; Debaryomycetaceae. The record is from RNAcentral.
AAGCGGCAAAAGCUCAAAUUUGAAAUCUGGCACCUUCGGUGUCCGAGUUGUAAUUUGAAGAAGGUAACUUUGGAGUUGGCUCUUGUCUAUGUUCCUUGGAACAGGACGUCACAGAGGGUGAGAAUCCCGUGCGAUGAGAUGCCCAAUUCUAUGUAAAGUGCUUUCGAAGAGUCGAGUUGUUUGGGAAUGCAGCUCUAAGUGGGUGGUAAAUUCCAUCUAAAGCUAAAUAUUGGCGAGAGACCGAUAGCGAACAAGUACAGUGAUGGAAAGAUGAAAAGAACUUUGAAAAGAGAGUGAAAAAGUACGUGAAAUUGUUGAAAGGGAAGGGCUUGAGAUCAGACUUGGUAUUUUGCAAGCCUUACCUUCGUGGUGGGGUCCCCUGCAGUUUACUGGGCCAGCAUCGGUUUGGAUGGUGGGAUAAUGACUUGGGAAUGUGGCUUUGCUUCGGUAAAGUGUUAUAGCCCUUGUUGAUACCGCCUGUCUAGACCGAGGACUGCGUCUUUGACUAGGAUGUUGGCAUAAUGAUCUUAAGUCGCCCGUCUUGAAACACGGACCAA